GAUGAACGCUAGCGGCAGGCCUAAUACAUGAAAGUCGGACGGGAUUGAGGAGCUUGCUUCUCAUGAGAAGGGCGCACGGGUGCGUAACACGUAUGUAGACUACCUUAGUCAGGGGGAUAGCCUCUCGAAAGAGAGAUUAACACCGCAUAACAUUAUGAUAUGGCAUCAUAUUAUAAUCAAAUAUUUAUAGGACUAAGAUGGGCAUGCGGAACAUUAGCUAGUUGGUAAGGUAACGGCUUACCAAGGCUACGAUGUUUAGGGGAUCUGAGAGGAUGACCCCCCACACUGGUACUGAGACACGGACCAGACUCCUACGGGAGGCAGCAGUAAGGAAUAUUGGUCAAUGGACGCAAGUCUGAACCAGCCAUGCCGCGUGCAGGAAGACGGCCCUACGGGUUGUAAACUGCUUUUGUACCGGAAUAAACCUUUGUAUGUAUACGAAGCUGAAUGUACGGUAAGAAUAAGGAUCGGCUAACUCCGUGCCAGCAGCCGCCGUAA
RNAcentral lists this ribosomal RNA (498 nucleotides) under uncultured bacterium. RNAcentral's name for it is "partial 16S ribosomal RNA". It matches the Rfam family "Bacterial small subunit ribosomal RNA", at positions 28 to 523 of the family's 1533-position model. The record is from RNAcentral.